RNAcentral lists this transfer RNA (73 nucleotides) under Myotis davidii. It matches the Rfam family "tRNA". From Rfam's summary of the family: Transfer RNA (tRNA) molecules are approximately 80 nucleotides in length. Their secondary structure includes four short double-helical elements and three loops (D, anti-codon, and T loops). Further hydrogen bonds mediate the characteristic L-shaped molecular structure. tRNAs have two regions of fundamental functional importance: the anti-codon, which is responsible for specific mRNA codon recognition, and the 3' end, to which the tRNAs corresponding amino acid is attached (by aminoacyl-tRNA synthetases). tRNAs cope with the degeneracy of the genetic code in two manners: having more than one tRNA (with a specific anti-codon) for a particular amino acid; and 'wobble' base-pairing, i.e. permitting non-standard base-pairing at the 3rd anti-codon position. Lineage: Eukaryota; Metazoa; Chordata; Mammalia; Chiroptera; Vespertilionidae. The record is from Rfam by way of RNAcentral.
GCCUAUUUGGCUCAGAGAUUAGAGCAUCGGCCUACAGACUGAAAGGUCUUGGGUUCGAUUCCAAUAAAGGGCA